GACGAACGCUGGCGGCGUGCUUAACACAUGCAAGUCGAACGGUAAGGCCCUUCGGGGUACACGAGUGGCGAACGGGUGAGUAACACGUGGGUGAUCUGCCCUGCACUUCGGGAUAAGCCUGGGAAACUGGGUCUAAUACCGGAUAGGACCACUGCCUGCAUGGGUGGUGGUGGAAAGCUUUUGCGGUGUGGGAUGGGCCCGCGGCCUAUCAGCUUGUUGGUGGGGUGAUGGCCUACCAAGGCGACGACGGGUAGCCGGCCUGAGAGGGUGACCGGCCACACUGGGACUGAGAUACGGCCCAGACUCCUACGGGAGGCAGCAGUGGGGAAUAUUGCACAAUGGGCGCAAGCCUGAUGCAGCGACGCCGCGUGGGGGAUGAAGGCCUUCGGGUCGUAAACUCCUUUUACAGUAAUAGAGAUGUUAUUGAGAAUAAGCACCUGCUAACUCUGUGCCAGCCGCCGCCGUAA
Molecule: ribosomal RNA, 467 nt
Filed under: uncultured bacterium
Lineage: Bacteria
Description: partial 16S ribosomal RNA
Rfam family: Bacterial small subunit ribosomal RNA
Source: RNAcentral